CCGCCGAGCCGAGCAAGAGCGUCUUCAACCCAUAUUGCCAAACCCGGGUAUCGGCCAGGAAUUGCGCGGGGGUGCAGGCCGUCACCAGGACGCCGAGCAGGAUCAACACAAACGCACAAGCCGCAAGGGCCGGAAAAAUACGCAGGCCACGAGCCACGAGGAACUCAACCGUCGAUCGUGAACGCGCCCAACUGGCGGCCACCGUCAGCCCGGACAGAACGAAGAAAACAUUAACCGCGUGGGCGCCGAGAUCAUAGUGGUUGAUGCCCGAGAAUAUCUCGUCGGCCUUGCUGCCCGAGCGCAGAAAGACAGCGUGUGAAAUAACCACA
This 329-nucleotide unclassified non-coding RNA is filed under the name Hevea brasiliensis (rubber tree). Lineage: Eukaryota; Viridiplantae; Streptophyta; Magnoliopsida; Malpighiales; Euphorbiaceae. The record is from RNAcentral.